ACGUAGGACGCAAGCGUUAUCCGGAAUUACUGGGCGUAAAGGGCGUGUAGGCGGCACGGUAAGUCAACCGUGAAAGCUCCCGGCUAAACUGGGAGAGGUCGGAUGAGACUGCCGAGCUAGAGGGUCGUAGAGGGGUGUGGAAUUCCGGGUGUAGUGGUGAAAUGCGUAGAGAUCCGGAGGGACACCAGAGGCGAAGGCGGCAGCCUGGACGACAACUGACGCUGAGGCGCGAAAGUACGAGGAGCGAACGG
Molecule: ribosomal RNA, 251 nt
Filed under: uncultured prokaryote
Description: partial 16S ribosomal RNA
Rfam family: Bacterial small subunit ribosomal RNA
Source: RNAcentral